Non-coding RNA from Callithrix jacchus (white-tufted-ear marmoset), 6607 nucleotides. NCBI's taxonomy places the organism in Eukaryota, Metazoa, Chordata, Mammalia, Primates, Cebidae. The record is from RefSeq and is a predicted model, not a curated record.
UUUUUUUUUUUGAGACCGAGUUUCGCUCUUGUUACCCAGGCUGGAGUGCAAUGGCGUCAUCUCGGCUCACUGCAACCUCCGCCUCCUGGGUUCAGGCAAUUCUCCUGCCUCAGCCUCCUGAGUAGCUGAGAUUACAGGCACGCACCACCAUGUCCAGCUAAUUUUUUUGUAUUUUUAGUAGAGACGGGGUUUCACCAUGUUGACCAGGAUGGUCUCGAUCUCUUGACCUCGUGAUCCACCCGCCUUGGCCUCCCAAAGUGCUGGGAUUACAGGCUUGAGCCACCGUGUCCGACGAUAGCUGCUGUCUUAAGGCUGUCAUUCCUUUAUUAGCAGAGGGAAAGCAAAACAAUAAAUAUAAUAAGUAAAUUAUUCAGCAUGCCAGAAAGUUGAUUACAUGUUGUGGAAAAUAAAUUCUUAAAAGUGUAAGGAGAUUGUGUAGGUCUCACUGAGGGGUGAGAGAGUAAGUGUUCUGAAUCGGAGUGCAGACAAAGCAAAGGCCUAAGACAGGCAUGUGCCCAAGGAGGCCAGUGUGGCUGGAGUAGAAUGAAAUAAGAUGGGAGUAGAGACAAGGAGGCUAAGUCAGGGAAAUAAGAGAGGAACAAAUGGUUUAGGGAAGUGAGUCUUCUAAUGUGAUCCUCAGACCUGCAGUCUCAGCCUCAUCUGAAACUUGUUAGAAAUGAAGAUUCUGGCCUGGCGUGGUGGCUCACUCCUGUACUCUCAACACUCUGGGAGGCUGAGGCGGGUGGAUCACCUGAGGUUGGAAGUUCGAGACCAGCUUGACCAACAUGGAGAAACCCUGUCUCUACUAAAAAUACAAAAUUAGCCGGGUGUUGUGGUGUAUGCAUGUAAUCCAGCUACUCGGUAGGCUGAGGCAGGAGAAUCACUUGAACCCAGGAGGUGGAGGUUGUGGUGAGCCAAGAUUGUGCCAUUGCACUCCAGCCUGGGCAACAAAAUCGAAACUCUGUCUCAAAAAAAAGAAAGAAAUGAAGAUUCUAAGACCCUAAGACAUCACCCCAGAUUUAUUCAAUCACAAACUCUGGGGUUGGGGACUAGCAAUCCAUUUUAGCAAGUCUUCCAGAUGAUUCUGAUAAAUGAUGAAGUCCAAGAACCACUGUGGAACUUUGUAGACAAUUGUAAGGACUCUGGCCUAUCAGUGCCCCCCAGCCAGAGACCAUCAGGAACACACCUGUACUUAAACUUGUUUAAUAGUUCUUAAUAGUUCAUUAUUAAUAGUUCUUGAAGCAGGUGCUGUGGAGAACCAUUGGGACAGCUUGGUGAGAGUGAGAGAACCUAUUAUAGGAUUUGGGCAAUUUGCCGGAGGGCCAAGAAAGCCAGGCUUCACCCUGGAUUAGGUGCUAUCAGAAAGCAGGGACAUUUCUGUAACUAGGUACCUGAAUAAGUAUUGUCUGUAAGAUGGACAGAUGAAAGUGAGGAUAAAGCUAUACUUGGUAAAGAAGCAGCAGUCACUCAUAGUAGCAGAGGACGUUUGGUUUUUCAUGGCUUGCACGGUGACUUUGCUCUCUUGUCUCUGCUUAGACAAAAUUAUGAAAUGGCCUUGUUGUGUCUCACUUUUUUAUAGUAUGACCUUGUCUGAUAUUGGUGUUCUAUGAGAUUAUGUCCCACAUUAGAAUAACUGGGCCAAGCUGUGAGCACCAGUCCAGCUUCUCACAACCCUGAAGUCUAGCAGUGUCAGACCAUCUCUCAGAUGUCAGGGCCUGCCUCUUUCUCAGGCUUUUAAUCUGGGAGAAAGAGAAAGCCACUGGGAGGUUUUGAACAGAAGAGUGACAUGAUCUGACUGAGCUUUAAAAAAAUAUUAAUAACUCUGUGGUAUUGUGAAGAGGCAGUAGCUUGGGGCAAGAGUAGAAGUCAGAAGACAAGGUAGGAGGAAGAUUACAGAGAAAGUUAAAGGAUAGAAAGCCUGUUAAGUGUAUCUCAGCCAGAUCUAACCAACCUUGAAACAGAACUGCCAGGGGCUCCAAGUUCUAAUAGAUCCUGCCAGAAAUCCAUUGUAUAAGGAAAAGAUACCAAUUUAGCAGCAAGGCCAAGGCAAGAUUCUGCCUUUUUUUUUUUUUUUUUUGAGACAGAGUUUCACUCUUGUUGCCCUGGCUGGAGUGCAAUGGCGCGAUCUCAGCUCACCACAGCCUGGGUUGAAGCGAUUCUCCUGCUUUAGCCUCUCAAGAGUAGCUGGGAUUACAGGCACACAUCACCACAGCUGGUUAAUUUUGUAUUUUUAGUAGAGAUGGGGUUUCUCCAUGUUGGUCAGGCUGGUCUCAAACUCCCAGCCUCAGAUGGUCCGCCUGCCUUGGCCUCCCAAAGUGCUGAGAUUACAGGUGUGAGCCACCGCACCCAGCCUCUUCCAUCUUUUAUGAAAGAGCCUUUUGGCCAGGCGCGGUGGCUCACGCCCAUAAUCCCAGCACUUUGGAAGGCUGAGGUGGGUGGAUCACAAGGUCAAUAGAUUGAGACCAUCCUGGCCAACAUAGUGAAACCCUGUCUCUACUAAAAUAUAAAAAUUAGCUGGGCAUGGUGGCACACACUUGUAGUCCCAGCUACUCAGGAGGCUAAGGCAGCAGAAUUGCUUGAACCCGGGAGGUGGAGGUUGCAGUGAGCCAAGAUCGUGCCACUGCACUCCAGCCUGGCACCUAGUGACAGAGCAAGACUCUGUCUCAAAAAAAAAAAAAUUGCUUGAACCCGGGAGUGUGUGUGUAUGUGUGUGUGUGUGUGUGUGUGUGUGUACAGCCUAUUUCCUUGUUUCUGAGAUUCUGUUGAAUAAGAGAUGUAUUAGUGAUAGCUUUUGGGGGGAGAAGAAGACUACAAAAUUAAACAUACAUACCGAUUUUAACAAACUUAUUUCAAAGGAGUUUAAGUGUGAAAUAGAGAAUAUGUGUAUAAUUGUCUCCAUUUUAUAGAUAGGGAAACCAAAGACUAAGGUUAAAUUACUGCAGAAUAUGAUGUCAAAGACUGUCUUUCUAAUCUAUGUAUUAUACUGCCUCUCACUGUGUGUGAAUGUGAUGACACUUUGUGAUUAAUAGUCGAGGAAGGCCAGGCGCGGUGGCAUUCCUGGACUACAUGUAAUAACAUGACUAUUACAUGUAGAAUAGUCUAUUUUAGAUUAUUAUAUGUAACACUUCCUACCCCUUCUUUAGUCGAUCACUUGCUCCUAGUUGAUAAUUCUCUUUAUUAAAAUUUUCAAAUUACUGUGUUUUCUGUCUCCUGACUGGACCUGACCUACUGUAUCAUUGGGAGCAAGAUGAAAUAAACUAGAAUAUUAUGCAAAAAUUAAAAGGAAUAACUUAGACGAGGCACAGUGGCUCACACCUGUAAUCUCAGCAUUUUGGAGGCUGAGGCUGCGGCAAAAGGCUCAUUUGAGCCCAGGAGUUCGAGACCUGCCUGGUUAACUUAGCAAGACCCUGCCUUUACAAAAGAAAAAGAAAAAUUAGCCAGGCAUGGUGGUGCACACCUGUAGACCCAGCUACUUGGGAGGCUGAGGUGGAAGGAUCGCUUGAGCCCAGGAGUUCAAGGCUGCAGUGAUCUGUGACUGUGCCAGUGCACUCCAGCCUUGACAACAGAGUGAGACUGUCUCCAAAAAGAACAGUCACUUCUGCCUAGGAAGGAUCAGCUGCUACAGAAAUUACUUCUCUUCAUAAAUAGAAAAUUGCACAAAACAUGAAAUAAUUGUUUUCAGGUCUUAUACAUGAGACAGAACAAGACUAUGUGCUUUGAGAGAAACGAAACCAAGGAAGGUGAGUCCUACAAUUGCUCCAGCUAGGAGGGAGUUUCCAGACUGUCACACAGAGAGGGAUUACCCAACAGAGUUUCAGAGUUGAAGAGAAAGAUAGCAAAGUACAGCAGAGGCCAGCAUCAAGAAUUCGCAGGAUGGAGUACUAAGAAGAGGAAGGUCCAUGGAGAAAGCUCUGUAGGUUUCUAGAGGGGCCCUUAUGAGUCUUUGGCUGAGUUCUAUCUGCACAUAUAUGGGACAAAACUCUUCCAGGUGUGAUGGCUCAUGACUGUAAUCCCAGCACUUUGGGAGGCUGAGGCAGGUGGAUUACCUGAGGUCAGGAGUUUGAGACCAGGCUGGCCAAUAUGGUGAAACCUUGUUUCUACUACAAUUACAAAAAUUGACUGGGCAUUGUGGCUCCUGCCUGUAUCCCAGCUACUGGGAGGCUGAGGCAGGAGAAUCCCUUGAACCUGCGAGGCAGAGGUUGCAGUAGCCGAGAUUGUGCCACUGCACUCCAGCCUGGGCAAUAGAGCGAGACUCUCAAAAGAAAAAAAAAAUACUCUAUGAGGCCUGGAAAAGAUCCACCCAAAAGCAGUAGGCCAAACACUUCUUGGAGUUCCUGAAGGGCAGGGAAUUGUGGAACCUUCCACAGAUUUGAAAGAUCUAGGGUAGGCGCAGUGGCUCAUGCCUAUAAUCCCAACACUUUGGGAGGCCAAGGCAAGCAGAACACCUGAGGUUGGAGGUCCAAGACCAUCCUGACCAAAUGGAGAAACCCUGUCUCUAUUCAAAAUACAAAAUUAGCAGGCAUGGUGGCGCACGCCUGUAAUCUCAGCUACUUGGGAGGCUGAGGCAGAAGAAUCACUUGAACACCGGAGGCAGAGGUUGUGGCGAGCUGAGAUUACACUAUCGCACUCCAGCCUGGGCAACAGAGCAAAACUCAAUCUCAAAAAAAAAAGUUCUAAUACAGUUGGCCUCAGAGAAGGUGCUCAGAGAAAGUAGUCAUAGCUCAGCAGUGGGGAUAUUACCCCUAGAGUAAAGGCUGUUCCUGGCCUAUCAUAAAACUUAAAACAAGCCUCAGAAGAAUCAAACUGAUCUCAAGUAACUUAAGUCUACCUUAGAAUAAAAUUUAAUACUGUCGAAUACAACAAAAUCCAGCACUCAACACUGUAAAAUUUCAACAUGUUCAACAUCUAAUCAAAAGUUGUAAGACAUUUAAAGAAGCAGGAUGUAUAACAACAGGCCAGGCACGGUGGCUCACACCUGUAAUCCCAGCACUUUGAGACGCUGAGGCUGGUGGAUCACCUGAAGCCAGGAGUUCCAGACCAGCCUGGCCAACAUAGUGAAACCCCAUCUCUACUAAAAAUACAAAAAUUAGCCAGGUGUGGGGGUGGGCACUUGUAAUUCCAGCUACUUGGGAGGCUGAGGCAGGAGAAUCACUUGAACUCAGGAGGCGGAGGUUGCAGUGAGCCAAAACUGCACCAUUGCACUCCAGCCUGGGCAAUGGAGCAAGACUCCAUCUCAAAAAAAAAAAAAAAUUCUAGAGAUGAAAAAUACAUUAAAUAUCCAUGAUGUUAUAACAUAAAAGCAAAAAAGAUCUUUGGUGACCUCUGAGAGAGUGUCUAAUAGUAGGGCAGGCUAGGAGUCAGAAUGUAAUGCAUGGAAGAUGGAAGAGGGGUGUAGAGUGGAAGAAGCUUUGAAUGUGGACCACUUGUUUAGGAAGUUUGGUCAUAAAAGGAAAUUAAGAAAUAAGACCGGGAAGGAGCCACAGUAUCAGCUGGAGGACUUUUUUGAGUAAAGGACAGGGGUAUGUGUGGCUUCAUGAUGGCCAAGAAAAGAGAACCAAUGGAAGGAACUAACCCAAGGUGUUGAAGAUGUGGGUAUACCAUCGUGCUGAGGAUGCCCUUGAGAUGGGGAGGGGAGGUUUUGCAGGGACAGAAAUAGAGACAUCUGUCUCAUUUGCCUGUGAUUCAAUUUGCUUCAUUCACAUGUCAUGGACCUAGCAGCAAAACACUUUUCCAAAUCUCUGCCUCUAGUGUAAAGAGCCCAGCUGCCCAACAGGUGGCUGAGUCCUACGUCUUGCCCUGAUCUGGAGCAUCAGCUCUGUGCUAUAGUGUGCUUCACUUAGGCUCUGGUGUAAGCCUCAGUUUUCUCAUUAGUGAAAUGGGGUUAACAAUAAUACUUCAUAGUGUUGCUGCUCAGCUACUGGUCUGAAGGCAGUGUCUCUGGUGUGUUUUGAGUCUGGUCCAUAUGAUCAGUGAUGUCACAAUGCCCUACUAGACUUCAGCUUCUCCACUAGGGAGUUGUGGAACCUUUGGAGCCAAGGACUCAAACAGACAUGCGAGACCUCUACCAACUGAAGGUUUAUGAACACACUCCUUUGCCAAGAUCUUGGUGAAUAGUCUUUCACUGUGCAAUUGUAUCUUAGAAAUUGUUUUCCUUUUGAUCAUGAUUGUGCUUGGCUGGAUGCUUUUUGUUGGACUUGCAUGUUACAUGGGCACGUUUCCAGAAUUAAUGCCUCCAACUCUGAAGUGGAAGGAGAGGUGGCCUGUUCUGGAGAGCAAGACACAGCUGAGGAGGUGGGCUUUAGAUGAAAAUCGGCUGCAAGAACCAUGUGGAAGGGAUAUAAAUAUCCCCCAGGAGGAACCCCAGUGGAAGUAAGCAAGGAUGAUCCUGGUGAAGUAAUGCAGCUCUGAAGCUCACCUGACCAGCUGUACAGUUCCUGUUAUUGGUUUCGCAUAAAGUAUAGAGGGAAGACCAUGUGAAGACACAGGGAGAAGACAGCCAUCUACAAACCAAGGAGAGAGACCUCAAGGUACAAACAGCUUGAUCGUGGAAUUCUAGCCUCCAGAAUUGUGAGAUAAUAAAUUUCUGUUGUUUAGGGCAUUGAGUCUG